UACGGGGGGGGCAAGCGUUGUUCGGAAUUACUGGGCGUAGAGGGCUCGUAGGCGGCCAACUAAGUCGGACGUGAAAUCCCCAGGCUCAACCUGGGAACUGCGUCCGAUACUGGAUGGCUUGAAUUCGGGAGAGGGAUGCAGAAUUCCAGGUGUAGCGGUGAAAUGCGUAGAUAUCUGGAGGAAUACCGGUGGCGAAGGCGGCAUCCUGGACCGACAUUGACGCUGAUGAGCGAAAGCUAGGGGAGCAAACGGG
This 253-nucleotide ribosomal RNA is filed under the name uncultured bacterium. Its description in RNAcentral is "partial 16S ribosomal RNA". It matches the Rfam family "Bacterial small subunit ribosomal RNA", at positions 524 to 776 of the family's 1533-position model. The record is from RNAcentral.